GUGCUUGCUUUGGUAGCACAUAUACUAAAAUUGGAAUGAUACAGAGAAGAUUAACUGGUCCCUGUGCAAGGAUGAUAUGCAAAUUCAUGAAGCAUUCCAUGUUUAA
This is a small nuclear RNA of Lemur catta (Ring-tailed lemur), 106 nucleotides long. Lineage: Eukaryota; Metazoa; Chordata; Mammalia; Primates; Lemuridae. The record is from RefSeq and is a predicted model, not a curated record.